RNA transcript from Sinocyclocheilus rhinocerous, 4505 nucleotides. It is a transcript of the gene named SRP receptor subunit alpha, with no coding region annotated. The transcript has 16 exons. The record is from RefSeq and is a predicted model, not a curated record. Lineage: Eukaryota; Metazoa; Chordata; Actinopteri; Cypriniformes; Cyprinidae.
UGUUAAUGGAUCCACAUGAUCUAUGUAAUAGAGCUGAAGUUGCGUCACUUCCUCAUUGUGCCACUGACGUGUCUGAUUUAUUGGGUUCAUUGGUGGUUGGCAAAGAUGCUGGACUUCUUCGCCAUCUUCAGUAAAGGGGGGAUCGUGUUGUGGUGUUUUCAGGGGGCCGGAGUGGCUGAAUCCUUCACCGGGCCCGUCAACGCUCUCAUCCGCUCCGUCAUCCUGCAGGAGAGGAGUGGCAAUAACUCCUUCACCCACAAUGCCCUCAGUCUUAAAUACAAGCUGGACAAUGAGUUUGAGCUUGUGUUUGUGGUGGGUUUUCAAAAGAUCCUGACGUUGACGUAUGUGGACAAGUUCAUAGAUGAUGUCCAGCUGCACUUCAGAGAUCGAUACAAGAAUGAGCUGGAGCAGAGAGGCGCCCUAAAGUUUCUGCUCAAUAAUUUUGAGUUUGGAGAUGACUUCCACAGACUUCUGCGGGAGGCAGAGGGCAGCAGCAAAGCCAAGGCCUCCGUCUCUAUGAGGACUUUCAAUGAGUCCCAGAAAUCCCAGAAAACUGUGAAGUCUAUGAUUGAGACAAAAGAUGGAGACAAAAGCAAGGAGCAAGGAGGCAAGAAAAGUAAAAAUGCCAAAAAGGAGGGUGAGAAAUCUGAAUCAGGAGGGGAUCAGGCUAAAGCUGCCUCACAGGCUGCCUCGAAAAAAGCUGUGGAGAAUGGAAACGAGGGCCUGACCCAAGAGGAGAUUAUCGAGAGGAACCGUGCCAAGUUCAUCAGCAAGCAGUUGGGUGGAGGAAAGCCAGAAAAGUCCAGUAAGUCCCCUAAACCCCAGAAGCCAAAGGGGAAGAUGAAGCGGGUGUGGGAUAUGAGCGGGAAGAGCUUUGGAGAGCUGGAUUACAGUGGAACCAAUGGCGACAACUCCAGUGACGCACAGAACCAAGACCCUGAUGCCACAGCUGAACCGCUGAUCCAGGUAGAUUCAAUGAAGGGUGACCUGCGAGGUGUCGAUUAUGAGUCCUCAGAUGAUGAGGAUGAAGAAGUGCAAGAAGAGGACAGAGUUAUAGUGGCAAACACUAACAAGAAAGGAGCCAAAAAGGGUGGUUUCGGGGGAAUGUUUGGGAUGCUGAAAGGCCUGGUGGGAUCUAAGAAUCUGACUCAGGAGGACAUGGAGCCAGUUCUGGACAAGAUGAGGGAUCACCUCAUCACCAAGAAUGUAGCAGCCGAAAUCGCCUCCCAGCUCUGCAACUCUGUGGCCAAGAAACUGGAAGGCAAAGUCAUGGGCACUUUCACCACCGUGGCCUCUACAGUAAAGCAGGCUCUGCAGGACUCUCUGGUGCAGAUCUUGCAGCCCAAGCGGCGUGUGGACCUCUUGAGGGACGUGCUAGAGGCUCGUUCUCAGCGCAAACCCUUCGUCAUCACCUUCUGUGGGGUGAACGGCGUCGGCAAGUCCACCAACCUCGCCAAGAUCUCUUAUUGGCUGAUCGAGAACGGCUUCACGGUGCUCAUCGCAGCCUGUGACACGUUCCGUGCGGGAGCCGUGGAGCAGCUGAGGACUCAUCAGCGCCGUCUGAACUCUCUGCACCCCCCUGAGAAGCACGGAGGGCAGCCCGCCAUACAGCUCUUCGAGAAGGGCUAUGGCAAGGAUGCUGCUGGGAUCGCCAUGGAGGCUAUCGCCUUUGCUCGUAACCAGGGCUUUGACGUGGUGCUGAUCGAUACCGCCGGCCGGAUGCAGGAUAACGCUCCUCUGAUGACGGCUCUGGCGAAGCUGAUCACAGUCAACACCCCAGACCUUGUCCUGUUUGUGGGAGAAGCGCUGGUGGGAAAUGAGGCUGUGGAUCAGCUGGUUAAAUUUAAUCAAGCGCUGGCUGAUCAUUCCAAGACUGACAAACCUAGGCUCAUCGACGGCAUCGUUCUCACCAAGUUUGACACCAUUGAUGACAAGGUGGGCGCUGCCAUCUCCAUGACCUACAUCACAGGUCAGCCCAUCGUGUUUGUGGGCACCGGGCAGACGUACAGCGACCUGCGCAGCCUCAACGCCAGGGCUGUGGUCAGCGCGCUCAUGAAGGCCUGAGAUGCACCACCCACAAGACCUGCCUCUGCUGCUCCAGCGACGGUUUCGCUACAGCUAGAUAUGAGACCCUGUGACCCUCUCAGCUUCCCGUGAAUGCAGACAUUUUGCUUUCCUACAGGUUUAACUGAAAUUCAGUUCAUAUUUAGGAUCCUUCUUGUGUUUUGUUCCAGGGGGAAAAAAAAAAGUGUUUCAGUUUAAUGAGUGGAAGGAAUAUAAUUUGACUUGAUCUCACCUCAGCAACCAUUUUUGAUUGACAUGCAACAGCCAAUCAGACAGCAGUGCUUUGGUUUUCAUUUAAAUAAUGAGAAGGAAAGUAUUUUUGCACUUUUCCACAUCUGUUCUCUACGAACAAGUGUUCUUGUACUUUCUGCCCACCCAAAAAAAGAUGGACUGAGGUGUUACUCAAAUGUUAUAAAAGAUAUAUAAUAUAUUCUAAAUCUAUUUUGUCUACUUUUUAUUUGAUUAAUGUAGGUACAUUCAGAUGAUGGCCCAGCAACCCAAACUGUCUCAUGAAAUCACUACCAUAGUGCCUCAGCUCAUUACAUUAGCUGUUGUUCCCAAAACAAUUCUGAGCAAACGCUGCCUUUUCUCAUUCUUCCUUUUAUACUCAGGCUUUUCAUGUCUCUGGAGAUGAAAAGUAUUAUAAGGUAUUGUAAGGUUUGGUGCUUGAGGUUUGAAGGCACCUCAGCAAAGAGUUCUAAAAUGCUGCGUAUACCAAACUGUCUGAAGCCCUACGAAGUUACAUAUUUGUUUUAAUUCAUUAGUGACUGUACUGCCAUCAUCUUUUCUUUGAUACCUGCGCCCUUUUAUUUUAGAACAAAGUCAGGUCUUAAUUCUCUUUCACCUCAUGUUAAUUUGCGCUAGCACAAUGGCAAGACUGGAGAGCUUCAUAGAGAAGAUUUGUUGUACUUUGAGAAUGUGUAAUAUUUCUUAAAUAAAGCUGCUAUAAUAGCUUGUAAUGACGUGUCUUGUUUGGUACUAGUAGUUCGUAAUUGUUUCCUACACUGCUAUUCUCACCAAUGCUGAAUUCUGUGGAAGUCUGUUUUUCUGCCACAGGAAAAAAAAAAUUGAACUGCGACUUGUCAUCUCAAAAUUCUGAGUUUUUAUCUCAAUUCAGACUUUUCUUGCAAAUCUGAAUUUGAAAAUGUCAGAAUGGCAAGACAUAAACUCAAGAAUUCUGACUUUUUUUUCUCACAAUUCCAAGUUUCCAUGUGGAACACAGAUUAGUCCUGUCACUUUAAGAAAUUACUCCUAAUGUCAUCUUGUUAUGAGUAUAAAAGAAACCAGUCCAUAGAAUGUGUAUCUUCCAUUCAAACCUCUCCCACCACCAUGGGCAAGACCAAAGAGCUGUCAAAGGAUGUCAGAGACAAGAUUGUAGACCUAUCCCUCUUAAUUCUCUUUUACCUCUAGCAAUUCUGUAUAUUUAUAUUCUCAGUUGUGAGGAAAAAAAUUUGAAUGGUGAGAAAUUCAGAAUUGGAUAAAAAAAUUCUGAAACGUUUAAUUCCAUGGCGAAACAGACUUCCAUAGAAUUCACAUUCCAUAUAUAAUGUCUACAGAAGUAAUACAAAGGGGUAUGUCUGCUGUUUUGCAAAAACAAACAUAACCUCAUGAUUGGUGUAAUUUUUUUUAAAUCAUGAUUUUUAUAGGCUGGUUCUUAUGAAUCGAUCAAAAAGAAUUACAAACUCAUGACUUAUCGGUUUAAGUCACCAAAUCUAGCAGCGUGUUUACUGAACUACUUUAACAGCUGACUCACUGACUGGAUGUUUAUGACAGCGUACAGUCAAACAUUUUCUCAAAAGUACAGUUUUUGCACAGCUAGAGUAACCAGAAGCGGAUGACACCGGAAGUCUCGCACAUUCAAGUUACAAAUGGCAGCUAUCGCUUGUACUUUUAAAAAUAAGGUGGGGGUAGAUGUAAUUCCUGAAAACAUAUUCACUGCAAAUUUGGUACCAAACUGAUGCUUUAUUUUAAAAUAGCAUUAUAAAUACCUAAAAGACAUUUGUGGACAGAGAUGAUAAAAUAGUGGACCACUGGAGUUAAAAUACAAAAGGUUUAUAAACAACUGUUUACAUUUCUUUUUACUGACCAAGCAUUUACAACUAGAAAUGGGGACUAACUGUCAGUGUCAAAGUGCAAUAAAAUGUAUUGAAAGCUGUGUAGCUUGAGAGGAAUGAUGGCAUUAUAUCAUUAUCCUCAUUAUUAGUCUCGUGACAAGUUCAAGUAGAUUCAUGGAAGCGGAGAUGCUUCUAGAAGUAAAGCCUGAGAAAUCACAUGAAUUUUGAGUCACACCUCAGUCACCCUAACGAGGUGUUUAUUGCAUUUCCUCCUCCUUACAGGACAGAUUUAGUAAUAAAAGAAAUGUCAUUUCAGUCAUAUUUCAACCAAUAGAACUGUGUGUGUGUGUGUGUGUGUGUAUACUGUAUAUGGAAGCUUCCACAACA